This 72-nucleotide transfer RNA is filed under the name Ovis aries (sheep). It matches the Rfam family "tRNA". Rfam says of the family: Transfer RNA (tRNA) molecules are approximately 80 nucleotides in length. Lineage: Eukaryota; Metazoa; Chordata; Mammalia; Artiodactyla; Bovidae. The record is from Rfam by way of RNAcentral.
UCCCUGCUAGCUCAACUGGCAAAGAAUCUGCCUGUAAUGUAGGAGACCUGGGUGCGAUUCCUGGGUUGGGAA